Numida meleagris (helmeted guineafowl) is the source of this 607-nucleotide long non-coding RNA. RefSeq lists it as uncharacterized. The record is from RefSeq and is a predicted model, not a curated record. NCBI's taxonomy places the organism in Eukaryota, Metazoa, Chordata, Aves, Galliformes, Numididae. The transcript has 4 exons.
CCUUAGGCUCUGCCCCUCCCAAAACCUCACCUGAGUGGUCAAGCCUUAAACCUGGCCACCUGGUCUCCCUGCAGGCAGCAGCUGGGAUCUGAGUCUGUCCUGACACUGACAGGAAAUGGCCUUGAUCACGUAGAGAAAAAAGGUGAUCACGCUCAGGGCUUGCCAGGUGACUGUGCUCCUUUGAAAACAACUGACAAGUCAUCACAACUCUACGUCUGCUGAAGAAAGCAUGAAACCUCAGAAGUGCAAGUCUAGCCAGGAUGGGAGAUCUUUGUGGAUUUCUGGAGAGUGCCAGUGAGAGCAGCUUGUGAGCUUCUUCUACCCAGCCCAUCUGGUACAGAGCAUCAGCACAAAGGAUCCGUGAUGCUUCAUCAGAAGGAUCCAGUUCCAUCAAGAGAGAAGCCAGCUGGUAAACCCCAAGGGCAUCCCUGAAGAAAAAAGAAGAAAGAAAGAAAGGAAAAAGACAACUUUCAGGCUGAACUGCCUCCUGGGUACCUCUUCUUCUGGAGCAUCUUCUGUCCCUCUUCCUGGAGAACCUUUAGCAGCAGUCCUCUUUGGUUCCAUGGCACAUAGGCCUUGAUGGUGAAGAUGGUUUCUUCUAGCUUUA